GAGAGAGAGAUGUUAGUGCUGAUAAAACAUCUGAACAGCGUGCUCUGCUUGUGGAAUCUAGAAGCAAAGUCAAAUGGUGGAUGACAUGGAUGAGGAUCUUGAUGAAGAUGAUUUUGGUGCAAAGGGUUCUGCUUCUGUAGAGCAUGAAUCUGAUGAUGAGAUCGUUGAAUCUGACAUUGAACUUGAAGGAGAAACUGUAGCACCUGAUGAUGAUCUGCCACAAAAGAUGGGAGACCCAUGUAUUGAGGUAACAGAGGAAAGUCGUGAUGCCUCUCAAGAGGCUAAAGGGAAAGCU
Phoenix dactylifera (date palm) is the source of this 295-nucleotide non-coding RNA. The record is from RefSeq and is a predicted model, not a curated record. Lineage: Eukaryota; Viridiplantae; Streptophyta; Magnoliopsida; Arecales; Arecaceae.